Molecule: ribosomal RNA, 802 nt
Filed under: uncultured bacterium
Lineage: Bacteria
Description: bacterial SSU rRNA
Rfam family: Bacterial small subunit ribosomal RNA
Source: RNAcentral
UCGAGCGAGUCUGCCUUGAAGAUCGGAGUGCUUGCACUCUGUGAAACAAGAUACAGGCUAGCGGCGGACGGGUGAGUAACACGUGGGUAACCUGCCCAAGAGAUCGGGAUAACACCUGGAAACAGAUGCUAAUACCGGAUAACAACAGAUGAUGCCUAUCAACUGUUUAAAAGAUGGUUCUGCUAUCACUCUUGGAUGGACCUGCGGUGCAUUAGCUAGUUGGUAGGGUAACGGCCUACCAAGGCGAUGAUGCAUAGCCGAGUUGAGAGACUGAUCGGCCACAUUGGGACUGAGACACGGCCCAAACUCCUACGGGAGGCAGCAGUAGGGAAUCUUCCACAAUGGACGCAAGUCUGAUGGAGCAACGCCGCGUGAGUGAAGAAGGGUUUCGGCUCGUAAAGCUCUGUUGUUGGUGAAGAAGGACAGGGGUAGUAACUGACCUUUGUUUGACGGUAAUCAAUUAGAAAGUCACGGCUAACUACGUGCCAGCAGCCGCGGUAAUACGUAGGUGGCAAGCGUUGUCCGGAUUUAUUGGGCGUAAAGCGAGUGCAGGCGGCUCGAUAAGUCUGAUGUGAAAGCCUUCGGCUCAACCGGAGAAUUGCAUCAGAAACUGUCGAGCUUGAGUACAGAAGAGGAGAGUGGAACUCCAUGUGUAGCGGUGAAAUGCGUAGAUAUAUGGAAGAACACCGGUGGCGAAGGCGGCUCUCUGGUCUGUUACUGACCCUGAGGCUCGAAAGCAUGGGUAGCGAACAGGAUUAGAUACCCUGGUAGUCCAUGCCGUAAACGAUGAGUGCUAAGUGUU